Molecule: ribosomal RNA, 497 nt
Filed under: uncultured bacterium
Lineage: Bacteria
Description: partial 16S ribosomal RNA
Rfam family: Bacterial small subunit ribosomal RNA
Source: RNAcentral
GAUGAACGCUGGCGGCGUGCCUAAUACAUGCAAGUCGAGCGAACAAACGUGGAACUUUCUCCUCUGACGAUAGCGACGGACGGGUGAGUGAAACGUGGAGAAACUACCUAUUAGACUGGGUUAAAUUCGGGAAACCGGAGCUAAAACCGGAAAAAAUAUUGAACCACAUGAUACAAUAGUAUAAGAGGAUUUUGCUGUCAAUUAUAGAUGGAUCUGCGCCGCAUUAGGAAGAUGGUGAUGUAACGGUAUAACCACACAAAGAUACGUAGCCGACCUGAGAGGGAGAUCGGCCACGCUGGAACUGGGGCACGGUCCAGACUCCUACGGGAGGCAGCAGUAGGGAAUCCUCCGCAAUGGGCGAAGGCCUGACGGAGCAACGCCGCGUGAGUGAUGAAGGUCUUCGGAUCGUAAGACUCUGUUAGUAGGGAAGAUCAAAUGUGUAAGUAACUAUGCACGUCUUGACGGUACCAAAUCAGAAAGCCACGGCUAACUACGUG